AAUUUAUUUUUUCAUUAGAAUAAAUGAAAGAAAAUUUUGUAAAACAUUAAUUACCUUUGUGUAAAAGUGUGAAGUGACAUAUAUUCUGAUAGGAAAAAGGAGUAACUUAAUUCUUCUCUCACUGAUCGGCACCAUCGCUCUCUUACCGAUCUGCCAUGGCUGAGAACCUUAAUUCUUGGUUUCAGCACCUUCUACUUCGUUCUCCGACACGACCUUUAAUUGUUCUCCACCGCAAGGAACCUUGCAUUUCCGAUUCACUUACGCUAAGUCUCUCUCCGAUACAGUCAAUUUUCUGUCAUGCAUCUCUUCGGAACCUCAGCUGAAGCAUGGGUUGGUGAUGCAGGAGGGGCUUACAGUAAUGGCCAUCAUCUUGUGUCUGAUGCAUUUGAUCAACAAGGUGUUGAGAUAGAUAGAGAUAUAUUAGUUAACGUAAAAUGGCUUUGAAGAUUUUUUAUGUUCCUUUUCGUUAUUGAAGAAUAUGGUGACUGUGGUCUUUUUGGAACUUCUUUUAGUUGUAGAUACUUCGUGUUGGGUGGUUGAAGUGUGGAUUCAUUACAACUCUGCAAAAUUUGGACAAGUUUAUGCAGUAGCUUCAACUUGUCUCGUAAGCUUUCACAAUACUUUUGCACAUAGUUCAUUGUUCCACUAUCAAGCUAAAUGCUAAUAGAUUCUUAUUCCACUAUCAAGCUAAAUGCUCAGCUUUGACUACAUGUAUAUAUCAGUUAUGUAUUUCCAUGCCUAUCUAUUGAAAUAGUUAAGUCCCAUAGGCAGUUGAUUUUACAUUAGAGGAAUUAAAUUCGUCAAGGGUGUAUCAGAGGUAUAGCUUCAUAGGUGAAUAGUAUAAUUGUUAGUCCCUCCCUACACUUAGAGAUAUAUCAUGGUUUAUGAAUCAGCAUCAAUAACUCUAAAUUCAAUUGGGGAAGUAAAAAGCAUCAAGUUAAGCUACUCUAUCUUAUAUUGAAUUGCUAAAAUGUGGUUUUUAAUGUCCUCAUUGUUUUUUAUUUUGUUUACAUACAUACAGGUUACAGAACAAGUGAUUCAGAUUCAUGUGUUCUAGAGAACAAAUCUAUUCCUUAGUUUGCAAGUAUGAAGUUAAUGGAUAGACUUAACCAAUGCUUUAUUGUUUUCUAAUUAAUAUGAGCUUGAAUUUCAAUUUUGUAAUAAAACAUAUGAUUACUUGUUGGCACUAAUGCUUGUGCUAGCUUAUUUACUUUGGCAUCCAAAACCUUAGUUGAAUCUUGCUAAUCUGGAAUUGUUCCAUUUUGGUCAUGUUCAAAUGCAGGAACAACUCUAGAACAAAUCUAGAAUGCAGAUUAAUUGUUACAUUGAUUUUUGGUCUAGUUUUGUUUCUCUUUUCUGGUUUUUCUGUUGGCUUAAUUGUGUGUUUGCAUGAUUUUUUUGUGUUUGUUUAAGCUUCGUGCCUGACUCUGUUAUGUCAUCAGGGGCCAGAGGGUUACACAAUCUAUCUUUUUGGAUUUGUGCUAGCUCUGUUAUGUCAUCAGGGGCCGGAGGGUUACAAAAUCAAGCUGCAAGACAAGUAUGUGUGUUUUUGUCUUAUAGUUUAAGCUUUCAACUGUUGCCUUGAUUUGAUCUAUAAACAUUUACUAUGAUAUAAUAUGCUUUCUGUUCUCUAAAUGUCAAUUAGACUUCUCAUUUGUUUGGCAUAGUCAAUACAUAUCAAACUAUUUCUUCUUAUCAGUUUUGAAAAUCCCUUGAUGCAAAACAGAAAGUAGGGAUGUUGACAGAAUUUAUGAAUUUUGGUAAUAUGGACAAUGUAGUCUAGAAACUAAAGAAGGGUUAGAUAUUGGCCACUGGUCUGCUGUCAUAAUUCUUUCGUAUUGCUGCCAAUUUUGAAUAAGUUAUGUGGAUGGAAAGUAGGGAGUGUCUUGUUUUUGAUGUGGUGUGUUGCUGCUAUUGGUAUUGCAUGGAAAGAUGUUAUUCACUAUUCUCUAGUGGCUACUCUUGGUGUUGAUAGUCUUUGUAGUUUGUUUGGUGUUCAUGGAUGGAUCUUGCUGCUGCCUAGUUUAGAUUAGGUUGUUCUUUGAAAUACUUUUGGGUGUUUUGAGUUUUGACAGAUUUUGUAGUAUGUUCAAUCUGAUGUACCUAGUUGAAUUCAAUAAAAUAGACAGCCCCGUUUGGCCCUACUUUUUUUCUACUUUUUUUCUUCUCCUUAAAAGUAGUAAAGAAGCAAAAAAUUGUGUUUGACCCAACUUCUCCUUAUUUUCUACUUCUUUACUUUAUUUCUCUAAUUCUUUUAAGGAGAAAUAGGGUCAAAUACAAUUUUCUACUUCUCUAUUUCUUUUAAGGAGAAGUAGAAAAGUAAAAAAAUAAGUAGGGCCAAACGGGGCUAACAAAAGAAAGUUGUAUUAUAAACAGUUUGACAUAGUUUAUUUAGAUAAAUGGUUCGAUAGAAUGUUAAUGGUUAGAUACAAGAGAGCUUAAAUGGUGCAGAGGGGUUAUUUUUAGAAAAUGUUAAAAAGAGUAGUUGAAAUCUAUUAACCUUUUCUCUAA
Molecule: RNA transcript, 2511 nt
Organism: Trifolium pratense (red clover)
Lineage: Eukaryota; Viridiplantae; Streptophyta; Magnoliopsida; Fabales; Fabaceae
Exons: 3
Source: RefSeq, a predicted model, not a curated record